CAGGUGGAGCCUGCGGUUUAAUCGGACUCAACGCCGGGAAACCACCAGAUAAGACAGCUGAAUGAUAGUCGGGCUGAAGACUCUACUUGACUAGCUGAGAGGAGGUGCAUGGCCGUCGUCAGUUCGUACUGUGAAGCAUCCUGUUAAGUCAGGCAACGAGCGAGACCCACGCCAACAGUUGCCAGCUCGUCCUCCGGGAUGGUGGGGACACUGUUGGGACCGCCUCUGCUAAAGAGGAGGAAGGAAUGGGCAACGGUAGGUCAGCAUGCCCCGAAUUAUCUGGGCUACACGCGGGCUACAAUGGGUGGGACAAUGGGUAUCGACACCGAAAGGUGAAGGCAAUCUCCUAAACCCAUCCGUAGUUCGGAUUGUGGGCUGCAACUCGCCCACAUGAAGCUGGAAUCUGUAGUAAUCGCGUUUCAACAUAGCGCGGUGAAUACGUCCCUGCUCCUU
This 453-nucleotide ribosomal RNA is filed under the name uncultured Methanomicrobiales archaeon. Its description in RNAcentral is "bacterial SSU rRNA". It matches the Rfam family "Archaeal small subunit ribosomal RNA", at positions 885 to 1338 of the family's 1478-position model. The record is from RNAcentral. Lineage: Archaea; Methanobacteriati; Methanobacteriota; Methanomicrobia; Methanomicrobiales.